RNAcentral lists this unclassified non-coding RNA (234 nucleotides) under Helotiaceae sp. RNAcentral describes it as "partial contains 5.8S ribosomal RNA, internal transcribed spacer 2, and large subunit ribosomal RNA". The stretch from base 1 to 52 matches the Rfam family "5.8S ribosomal RNA", at positions 103 to 154 of the family's 154-position model. RNAcentral also lists the same sequence under 1 other name. The record is from RNAcentral. Lineage: Eukaryota; Fungi; Ascomycota; Leotiomycetes; Helotiales; Helotiaceae.
AACGCACAUUGCGCCCUCUGGUAUUCCGGAGGGCAUGCCUGUUCGAGCGUCAUUAUAACCAAUCACGCAAGUGGUAUUGGGGCUUGCUCAAUAGCAUCCCUUAAAGUUAGUGGCGGUGCCAUAGGGCUCUCAGCGUAGUACACAUUCCGCUUUUGAAACCUAGCCACACCUGUCAGAACCCCCAAACUUUCUAAGGUUGACCUCGGAUCAGGUAGGGAUACCCGCUGAACUUAA